RNAcentral lists this long non-coding RNA (32483 nucleotides) under Malus domestica (apple). RNAcentral describes it as "long non-coding RNA (MDOM_LNC011676)". Lineage: Eukaryota; Viridiplantae; Streptophyta; Magnoliopsida; Rosales; Rosaceae. The record is from RNAcentral.
UUUAUUAUAUCAAUAAAAAACCCUAGGCAUAUCAACAGAAAUGAGCAGUAUUGGCCAACUAGUUAGUACUAUAGGCACUUCAGAUACAAGUUGGUAUUUUGCUAUGCUUUUGCUGGUGUAUUUGCAAACUUCCAUGAGCAGCUAUUGGGACCUUCACUAUAUCUUUCCCCUGCCGCACCGUUGACGGGUAUCGCAUCAGAAACCUCCUUCACAUCUUCUUCAGUGAGUUUCACUCUCAACGAUCCGAUAUUAUCAUCGAGAUUUUUUAUCUUUGUCGUCCCUAAAAGAACACAAUGAGAUGUAAGUAUGCUUCGUUUUCAAGUUUAUUACAAUGGUUCGUCCAGUUAGCAAGUUAAUACGAACUUACCAGGGAUUGGUACCACGUCAUCACCUUGGCUAAGAAUCCAAGCUAGGGCAAAUUGUGCAGUGGUGCAUCCGUGCUUCUCGGACAACUUUCGUACGUUGCCAAAGAUGACCUUGUUCUUCUCCAAGUUGUCCCCUGUGAAUCGAGGACAGAAACCUGAUACCUGAUAACAAAAUGAAUAGCCAUCAAAUAACCGUUCUUGUUCACAUAAUUUAGCAUAUCGCAACCCCCGAACUCCCUUACCAGAAAAUUAUUUGCAGGUAGACUUUCGACAACACCCUUGCCACCGAAAAAUCCGCGACCCAGUGGGCUGUAUGGCACUAUUCCGAUUCCAAGCUCCCUGUGGUUCCAACAAAAGCGACAAUAUUUUCUCACAUUGAUCAAUUGACUAUGAUGCGGGAACAAUCGACCAGCCACAAAGUAGUUACCUGCAAAGCGGGACAAUUUCUUCCUCGAUAUCUCGAGUCCAAAGGGACCACUCCAUUUGUAUAGCAGUUAUGGGAUGAACCGCAUGAGCCCUUCUUAUUGUGUCCGGGCUAGCUUCCGAUAAUCCGAUGUACUUAAUUUUUCCCUCAUUCACCAGCUUCUUUAGCUCCUCCAUCUGUCCUUACAAAAAUAGUAACUGAGUAACAGAAAAAUGGAAAAAGGCUUCACAAUGCACUUCAAAAGUAGGGGGAAAUAUCUAACACUUACAGUGUCCUCUAUGGGGACUGUUGUAUCGAUCCGGUGCUGAUAGUAAAGAUCAAUGUAGUCCACGCCAAGGCGCUUCAGGCUAGCCUCGCAGCAGGAGCGGACAUAUUCAGGACUGCCGUUUACUAGCAUCUGAUUAGGUUCAAUUUUUACGAUACCAAACUUCGUAGCCAACUGAACUUUGUCUCGUGGAAAUUGCCUCAAUGCCUGAAGUUAAACCGAUCGAAGACGGCAUAAAUGACCAACAUUAAAUGCAUACCGACAGCCCUAGACACUCUUAGACUCUUUUCAGAACCUGCUCCAAUUUCGAGUCAAAGAGAUCCUAAGCCUAUGAGGCAUGGAUAUGGAUACGGAUACGAAUACGGCGAUAUUAUACGACACUCCUGAGUAUUUUAUAUCAGAAAGACGGGUAUCCUACAUUUGAUGUAUCGAUAUGCACAAGGAAAAUCACAACUUUGAAUUAUGGAAAGACUAAUUCAGAGCACAUUACCUUUCCAACCAAAACUUCAUUAAUAUGAGGUACCAAAACUUCAUUAAUAUGAGGUCCAUAAACAUCUGAUGUAUCAAAGAAUGUAAUUCCCUUAUCGAAUGCGUGCUUGAUGAUCGAUAUGCCAAGCUCUUCGGGGACUGGAUCGUUGUAGAUUCCAGUGAGCCCCAGACACCCAAAUCCCAACUUGGAAACCUGCACCACAAAUGAAUUCACAAUUUGCAUAAAAUCAAUGUGAAAUAAUUCUAAUUUUUAUUUGGAGGGAAGCAAAAAACAUAACCGAGUUGCAGAAAUGUAAAGCUAGAGUAAAGAAUCUGAAAUGGUUUCACCUCAAAUCCCUGAGUUCCGAGUUGCACUCUUGGAAUUUGAACUUUCUGCUCCUCCGCCAUUCUUCUUCUUCGAUCUUCUUCGAUCUUGUUGCACUCUUGGAACUCUUUUUUGUCUCCUGUUUGGUGAAGUGAGAGCGAAUUUAAAGGCGUUUUACGCACUAAACUUCAUGUCGUCAUUGAUUACAUCAGCAUAUCUUUUAGAUCACUGCGUGUGUCAUUGGUCAUUAAGGAACUAAAUCCAAUACUAAACUCGUGAGAACCAAUAUUAUUUGGAAGUUUGUUAGUGUCCAAAAGCCCACUUCCAACAACACUUUGUUAAUUACCAUCUGCAUUAUCUGUCAAGUAUGAGAUUUUAUCACAAAAUACCCCGGUAUUAGUUUAAAAGGAGUAGGAUAUUUAAGAUGGUCUGUGUUUGAAAUGGUAUCAGGCAUGUUGUUUUUGGUUGAUAAAGAUUCAAACUUGAAUAAUCGUUUGAAGAGAUUUUUGUGUUUGUUUUGGCUCGAGAGAAAACGGAAGAGCAAAAGUCACUUUGUAUAUAUUUUUCUUAAUAUCCCAAAAGACAAAUUACAAAGACUAUAUCUUUUUCACAGCCGGUCUAAAACCAGAACCUACAUCUAGAGGCCUAGUACUCCUCUCCGAUCAUAAAUGGUUAUCAGAGAAUAUCAUCCAUCCACUUGGAAGAAGAUGAGAAUGCUCAGUACAAUUAAAAGAUAAAACACCAGCUGUAAUCUUUCUAAAACUAGGGGAAGAAACUAGCCGUUGAAAUUAAAAAGCUCCUUCUAAUUUUAGUAAGGUCUUCAUUUCUUCACACUUUUCUGCUUCCUUUUGACUUCAUCUGCAGGAUUACCUUCUGCAGGAUAACUCUAAAGCUAGGAGGCAGCUUAAUUCUCAACAGUCUGUUGCGUAAAUAAUCUCUCUUAUUACAUAUAAUUUCCCAUUAAUGUGCCUGCCGUGUACGAGUCCAGUAUCAUUUUAUAAGAAACGGAAAUUUUCAGAACAACAGUUUCCGGGAUAAGUAGUCCCCGGAUCUUUGUUCUGUUCAUGAGCGUUACAAUUUUGGAAUGGAAAUUACUGUUGGAGUAUGUGGCCAAGUGGCCAACUUUUGACUAUAAAAAAUUAUAAAGAAAAAGGUAGACAAAAUAAUUAUGUCUCUUCCUUAUUUUGGGGAAAAGAAAAGGGAUUUUUGUCUAAAGUUUUCUUGGUCCAUGGGAAGUCACGGGGUGACUUGAAUGAAGGCUAUGUUAUGAUGAGGGAGCUGCUGCCCUUUUGUUUUUUUAAGAGAGCAGAAAAAUUGGUGAGCCGAAGAGAAGGAGAGGGAGAGAAAGAAGGUACUGCUGCAGUACCAUUUUGAGAGAAGGAGUUGUUAUUCCUUUCAUUGGAUAGUUCUCACUCCAUCAAAGUGUUAUUGUUGUAAUAGCUUUGAGCUUUGUAUAGAGAAGAAAUUAAUCACUAUAUUUCUUUCUCUAUUUGUUUCUUUAGAGUGUGAGAGUUAUUGGGUGUAUUGGGUUAUUUGGGUUGUGAGAUUGCCAACUUUGUAAACUCCCAUUUGGUUGAUAGUGGAUUAUUGGGUGAGCUCCUACUGCUCCGAGGACGUACUCCAGUUACACUAACUGUUGAGGAACCUCGUUAAAAUCUUGGUGUCUUUAAUAUUUUGUUCUUGCGUUUCAUUUGAUAUAUUUCCUGUGGGUUAACAAAGAGUUGGUUCUAAAGGGUUUGGUGCUAUCUUAGCACAACAAUUACGCUUAGAAAAGAACUUAAUACGAUGUUGAAAUAUCCGUAACUGCUUCAAAGACUUCGACUGUAUUGCAACUUUCUCGCAGAAACUGUGCAGAUUCGAUUGUGCAUACAAACAUUUAAGUUGGUCUGUUUCAUUGUUUUGCUGGUGUGUUUGCAAACUUCCACGAGCAGCGCAUAAGACUAUCUGUUAAUCUCUCCCCUGCUGCCGCGUUGAUGGGUAUCAUAUCCGAAAUCUCUUUCAUAUCGUCUUUAGUGAGUUUCACUCUCAAGGAACCAAUAUUAUCGUCAAUGUUUUUUUUUCUUAGUUGUCCCUGCAAAGACACAAUGAGAGAUCAGUUCGCUUAACCUUUUUUUGUUCAAAAUCGACGCGGUCCAGUUAGUAAGCUAAUACCCACAUACCAGGAAUUGGUACCAUGCCAUCGCCUUGAUUAAGAAUCCACAAGAGCGCAAGCCGUGCCGAUGUGCAUCCAUGAUUUUCGGCCAAGUUUAGACAGAAAACAUAAUACGCUAAACUUUUCUGUCUCCCUCAAUUCUCACAUCUCUCUCAGUCUAUUUACAUUCCUACUUCAUAAUUCUUGGGCAAUUGAUCACUACUUAGCAAUCAUGUCUGCCGUUGGCGUGCAUAUCGAAUCAGACAUCUUGUGAGACUUUGGGUUGUAUCUUGGAGUUGUAGGCACCGCUAUAACCUGCACAUAGGGAGGCGUUUACGGCUUUAGGGCAGCAACAUCGCGCCUCUCUUUGGUUCACAGGCCAGAUAUUUUUUUUAAUUUAAAUUUCAUAAGUCUGAUAGUGAUUAUACAUUUGAUUUGAUAUAUUUGAUCAUAUAAAUAAUUGAUAUAUUUUUGCAAUAUAUUUCACAAUCUAAAGCCGUAUACGUGUGAUAAUAUAAUUGCAAAUUUUACAAUCUAUUUUUACAGUACCUUGAAAGCCCUAAGAAUUGUAGUUUUUCCUAUGUUGAAAGUGGAAUUGUUAGGAUUCUGUCGUUCAUUGAAUUUUUUUUUAUUCAGGUCCUAUCGUUGUUUUUUGACUAUGUGCAUUUGUUUUAUUCGAGUCAUUGUCAUUGAAUUUUGUGAGAAGGCAAACCUUACCCUUCAUUCAUUGCAUCAUGUCAUUCAAUUGUCUGAGAAGGCAAACUUUGCCUUUAAUUCAUUGCUUUUUUGACUCUUUGCAUUCUCUUUAUUCUUUUUAGUACCAAAACAUUUUAAUAUUGCAUAUCUGUCAGCUAUUGUCUGGGGUUGAUAAUCUUCAUAAACUACAAUUAAUAAUUAAAUAUUACUUGUAUAUUGCAUACUGAUACAUGUAAACUGCAAUUAUCUAAUAUUAUUCGUAAACUGCAAUUAAUUAUUAAAUAUUACUUGUAAACUGCAAUUAUUUAAUAUUGUUUAUCUGUCAAGUGAUUUGACUACAAUUGCAUCAGUGCGUGAUUAUUACAAUUUGUGUGUGAUUAUUCAGUACCAAGCACUUGCAUCUUUUAUGCUUUAAUUAAAUUAAAUAUGUGCUUGAUUAUUACAAUUUGACUACAAUUGCAUACUCAUAUAUGUUAAUUGUUUUAUGCUUUAAUUAAAUAUGUGCAUGACUAUCAUUAUUAAUUGAUCUGUGGUUAUUAUAUAGCAGUAUAGUUUAUCCUAUACUUGUUAAAAAUUUUGAGUGACAAUUUGUUUUAAUCUCUACAAUAUUAUAGCAAUCUUAUAUCUCUCUCACUUGUUAUUAGUCAGAAUUACAUAACAAAUGGCAAGCCUAGAAGAAGCAAAUAGUGUUAAGCCUGAAAAAUUUAGUGGGCAUAAUUUCUGUAGGUGGCAAAAACAAGUGAAAUAUUGGUUAACUGUCUUAGGACUUGUAUCCGCACUUGAAGAAACUCAAUCAAACAAAGAUUCCUCUUCUAAAGAGUCAUCUUCUAAACUAACCCCUGAACUCAUAGAAUACCAUUGUCACAAUAGAAUCUUAAGUGCCAUUUCUGAUCAUCUCUAUGAUGUGUAUCAUGCUACUACAUCCACCGCCAAAGAACUUUGAGAAACUUUAGAAGCGAAAUAUGGAAUUGUAGAUGUUGGGAUGGAUAGGUUCACGGUCUCAAACUUUAAUGAUUAUAAGAUGGUUAACAAUAAGUCUGUUGGGGAACAAAUACAUGAGUAUCAAGAGCUAUUAAGAGGUGUUGAAAAGAAAGGAACGAAGUUCAGUGAGGACUUUAAAGUCUCUUGCCUUAUUGAUAAACUGCCUCAAUCUUGGAAUGACUUUGCUAGAACCUUAAGGCAUAAACAAGGAGAAUUUACUUUGGUUCAAGUCAUAAAUUCAAUUAGAAUUGAAGAGAAACAUAGGUCAAGCCAAAAGAAGGAAACCGAAAAACAAACAACUAUGAACUUAGUUGAGAAUGUGUUUGGACCCAAAGUUACACCAUCGGCCCGUGCAAUCAAGGCCGUUGAGUAAGCAUAGCUCUCAAUCGUCAGAUGGAAAAGUGGAGAUAAUUUUGUUAUUGUUAAAAAAUAAUAUUAUGGCUUUUGUCAUAGUAAUUAUUUUUCAAUUUGGAUUAUCUUGGCAUUAUAUCUUGGAACAAGUACAGUUCUAGUGAACUUAGGAUUACUGCUAUCAGAUUGGAGAAACUUGGUAGAUGAGAUUUGAAAAGUCAUGGUGCAUGCACGGAUGGAUUAUGGAAAAGCCUAGAUAGGCUUGGCUUUUGGUGGUGAUGUGAUAAGUCUAAGAUUUAAUAGUCUUGGAUGAUGAUGACAAGCCUAGGUAGGUUAGGUUAUGAUGAUAAAACUUUUAUUUGGAUAGGUUUUUGUGAGGUUUAGAAAAUCGUGAACAUCUAUUUGAAGGAUAUGCCUUGGUUUCUGAUGCGGAUUAAUUUCAGUUCCACGGAAAAGAAUUGCAGUUGAACUCUACAAGCACCAUCAGGUUGUGCCAGAUAGAUAUCCAACGUUAUAAAUACAUGAAGACUGUGCAGCAUUCAAGCCCCUUUCCAAUUCAACACAAAAACUGCCAUGUGUAAACCCUCGCUCUACGCGAAACCUCUCAUCAACCUUGAGACUUUUGUUUUCUUUUUCCGCUGAUAUACCUUCAGUUUGGAUAAACAGCACUGUGAAGGCAACCGGCGAACAUCUUCAGUUUGGAUAAACAGCACUGCGUAGAGGCCGACUGGUUAUCUAUCUAAGUCUCGGUCGAGAAGGAUUUUCGAAUUCUUAUUGGCAAAGGCCAUCUCAUUAGCCUUUUUGGCGAAGUGAGGUGUUACAAGUUAUUACAUUCGGCACAUUGAAAACCGAAUUUGAUAUUGAACUUCGCAGAACUAGCAGCCUUAUCUUCAGGCUCUAGAACCUAAAGGCCGAGAGUGUUCCUUCCUCGGCUGCAGUCUUGAGAUUCAGAAGUCAACAGCGCACCCAACGUAACAUCAACAUAUUUUACUCCUCGGUCGGCCGACGAGUUGGCACGCCCGCAUACAACCGAAUGACGUAGUUAGCUUACUAGUUACUCGGUCUGCGUGCCACGUAGGCUUGGUAGUUUUUAGGGUUAACAGAAUGACACCAACAAAUAUGAAAAAAACAAAACCAAGUUUACCAUGAAUAAUAAGAGGAAUUUCAAACCUAGAAGAACAAAUUUUAAAUUCAAAUCACCCAACCAAAAUAAGAACUUUCACAAGACUAAGGAUCAAGGGAGAGAGAAAGGGGUUUGAUUCGUUUGCGGAAGAACCAAUCAUAAAGCUAAGGAUUACUUCUACAAGAAGACUGAGGAGAACAAGUCUAGGUCAAAUCAUAAUGGUCCAAAAGCCCAAGUGAAUAUGCUGAUAGAGCAACAAUCUUCUCAAACACAUUUUAAGUAUGAUUCCUUUGUCAAUUUUACUUAUGAAAAUAAGGAUUGGUGGGUAGAUUCUAGAGCUAACAUACAUCUCUGUUUUGAUCGUGAAUUUUUUAAAACCUAUCAGAAAUCAGGUGGAGGACGUGUAACUUUAGGAAAUGACUAAAUGUCUCAAGUGCUUGGAAUUGGAGAUGUGGAUGCAAAUUUCUUCCUCCUUCUUAUUGGACAAAAUUGCACCUACAAAACAAUUAACACCUUAGAGUCAAUGCCAAGAGCCUCACACGCCCACGAUGAAUGGGGGGGCUUUGGCUGAAGAAACUCUUAUGCCAAAGUUAGAAUUUAGAGAGAAAAAAUGUUUAGAGAGUUUGUGGAAUUUUGCAAGAGUGUUGGAAUGAUUUUUUGAUGAAUAUGGGAGCCUAUUUAUAGGGAUAGGCCGGUCCCCUUCGGAUAGGGAGUGGCCAGCCAUUAGGUAGGGUUUUUUAGGUUUAAUUUUGGUUUAAUUAGCCAACUUAUUAUGAUUAAUUGGCUAAUUAAUCAUAAGGGGAAUGUUUUGGUGGUUAUGAAAUUAAUUGGCUAGCUAAUUAGUGUAAUAAAAAGGGAGAAAUGAUAAAAAAAAAAUGGUAGAAAGUAUGGUGGACUCCUUUUUGAAUGGGGAUGGCCGGCCUUUGAGUUGUUUUUGGAGUUGAAUGAAUGAUUUAAUUGACAAUUAGGGGAUUGAUUAGGCAAUUAAUCCCUUAAUUAGUCAAUUAUUAUGUUUUUAAAGGAAGAUUUUAGGAAAUAUGAAAGGAAUAUAUUAUUUAGCUAGAUUUAAUUGACAAUUAGGGGAUUGAUUAGGCAAUUAAUCCCUUAAUUAGUCAAUUAUUAUGUUUUUAAAGGAAGAUUUAGGAAAUAUGAAAGGAAUAUAUUAUUUAGCUAAUUGAUUAGCUAAAUAAUGAAAUGGAAUAAAUUAGGUUUUGGGAAUUACCUUAUAGAAAUGAUUUAAUGAAAUAGGCUUUAAAUUGUUACCUAUUUUGGGCACUUUUAACUUGGUUGAAAGAGGGUUGCCCGUAGGAACCUCGUUGUACCGCUAGGGUAUUUUUGUCAUUUUUGUCCAAAAAUCCACGUGUCGCCUUGUGAUUAUUUUUAGCUCCACAAAUGCCCCCACACCUGUUGGGCUGCUUGCAGAAAAGGGUAACAGGUGUAGAGAUUUUCUUGCCUUAGGAAACUUUGAAUUGUUUCCCUUUUUUUGUGAUGAUUCUCUCUUUUAAUGGGAAAUUAGAUCCUUCUAGGAAAAGAAAAUAAAUCCCUCUCAAAGUUUAUGUAAGUCCACCUUAAGUGGAUUAUUAAAUCAAUUUUUUGAGAGAAACUUAUUUCACCCUACAAGCGAGAGAAAGCUUAGAGGAUAUUUAUUCCUCCUCCUCUAGCCAUCUUCUACAUCUUGCCCAUGCAAAGGAUCGUCUUUCGUUGCAUGCUUCGUCUUCUCGUUGUUUCUAGGUAAGAAAAAUUUAAUUUUUCUGUCUUCAUAAUUUUCUUAGAAGUCUUAGGACUUGAAAUUGGCUCUCCAGGGGUCGAGGAGACUUUGAAAUUUUUUUUUAAAAGCCAUGGGUUGUGGAGUGCAGUAGGGUGGCUAGGUUCGGCUCGGGCUAUGGGGGAGAAAAUGAUGUGGGGCGCCUGCCCCCUGUCAGUCAAAUAUGGGCCUCGGGGCAUUUGGGUCGAGAAGAAAGAAAUUGGGGAGCCAGCACAGGCAGGGCUCCCUGCUUUGCCUUUUUUUUUUUUAUUAUUGGGCCCUUGCCCUAGGGAGGAAUGAAGGGCUGAAUGCCCUCUUGGAUUUGGGGGCCUCUGUGUUGUGCCUUCCCCCCCCCCCCUUUUUUUUUUUUUUGCCGAGAGCUGCUUUUUUCCUUUUUUUUUUUUUUUUUUUUUAACAACUCUUUAACAAAUAUUCCUUGUACUUUUGUAGAAUUUUCAAGCAUGUCUUCCUCAAGCCACAAGAAUGAUGAUGGUGUGCCGCCGUUGUACAGUCAAGGCGGGUCUUUAAGCAAGGUUGGCGACUUUAAGGCUGCUCACUUCAAGAUUAGCUUCGACGACUUGUUCAGGGACUUCCUCGAGGCAUACUGGCAUGUCAUUCCGUCGGGAGUACGUGUGAAGCAAGUUAAGGAUGGUAGCAGCCGGGAACCAUGCAGUGGAACUCGGAGAGCCAUCAAGUUCCACCCCUAUUAUUUUGUGUUAGGGUUUACUUUCCCUAUGCAGCGUUUCUUCCAAGAAGUGCUUUGCUCCAUAAGAUGUGCCCCCGCCCAAUGUUCCCCGAACACAGUCCAUGUGAUGGUGGGAUUCCACAAUCUAAGCCAAUUCUUUGACUUAGAUCUAACCGUUAACGAAUUUUGGUAUUUCUUUGACAUAGGUCACAUUGACAAAGUUGGGCAACUGUGGUCUCGCCAUAAGCUUUUUGAUAACUCGAGCAAGAGAGAUCAUGACCAGGCCAAAGAGACUUUGGAGAUAAGUGGAGAAUGGGAGUCUGAUUCUUCCCCCGAGUUGCGUGUACCAACUGUCUUCAUAUCUAGUAAACAGGCUGCUUAAUCUUCUCGGCUACUUUGUUGUAGUGCCAACUUACACUUCAAUUUUCUGAUUGUCUUUCGUUGUUUUUUUUUUUGUAGAUUCGGAAUUCAGCUUAACACCUAAGGUUUUUCCGAACAUAAAGAAAGUACAUGUCGUUCUGGGGUAUCCCUUCCGAAUAUCAUGAGUGGCGUUGUCUGCUUAGUCCUCUUCGUAGGGAAAAAAGUGGGCUACCUCCAAAAGAGGAGAUAAAACGGAUCAAAGCAGAUGCGAUGGCUCGUCCUAUCACUGUGAUGGAGCCUGCUAUCAAUAAAGGUGGGAAAAAGAAACAUUCCUCGCCUACUCAAGAGAUGCUUGCUGAAAAGAAACCGAAGACUGAUCGCGGGGAUUUUUCGGCUGCUCAAGAAAUACCUGUUGAGAAGAAACCGAAGAUUGCUUCUGCUGCUCGCGAGGGUUCAUCAACUGUUCUUAAUAUUGUGAUUGACUUGACUUCCUCUAAGGGCGAGAAAGAAAGAACUGCUAUAUUUAUGCCGGUAACGCCUAUUGCUCCGAAGGCUGCUACUCGAUUGCUGAAAGGAUUACCCAGCGCAGAAGUUCCUUCGUGCCUCCAAUGCCGAAGUUUGUGCCAAAGCGUUCGUCUAGAGCUAAGUCUGGCUCACCUUUGGAGAGGCUUGCUAUUAUGAAGAGUGACAAGGUGCCCCUGCCUACUAAAGUGGUGCCAAAACCUGCUUCAUCCGUUGCUGCAAGCAACUCGUCUGCUGAUAAGAAGGAAACUGCUUGUUCAUGCAGGCUUGAAGAAUCCACCAAGGCUGUUUCUUGGGAAGUUGCUAAGAUUUGCACGCUUUUAAAGCCAAAUCUACUUGAAGACAUGGAUUUAUGUGCCAAGUUUGUUGAUGGGGUCAAUGAGGUUAUUGGUCCGAGUAUUUUCACGAAGCACACAUCCGAGUAUAGGAAGAUUGCUCUGCUAGCCAUGAUGUAGAAAACAACAAUUUUGGCAGCCAAGUCCAUGUUCCUUGACCAAGAGAAAACCAAGGCUGCUAAAGAGAUGGCAAGAACUAUGGCUACCAAAGCUUACUCAUCGGUCGAAAAAAAUCAGGAAAUUAGAAUCUGAGCUUGCUGCUUUUAAGGGAUCUAAUAUUUAUGCCCCCACUUCUCUGCAGCUUGAGGCCACUCACCAAGAGAUUAUGGUUUUGAAGACUAGGCUUGAUGUAAUCCAAGUGAAGUACGAAAAUGCAGAGAAAGAAAUCGAAGGUUACAUACCUCAAAUUCAAGAUCUUGAGCGUUUCAUCUCUGAAUUCCGCUCCGCUGCUUAUGCAAAGGAUGAAGAAUUAAUCGCUGCUUACAACCAAGUGAUCCAUUUCAAAAAGGUCGUUGAUAGGCUUGAGCCACAAGUGUUGGAACUUCAGAGUGCUUUGAAGAACAACGACAAUCUGAAAAAAGAAAUUGAGAAUUACAGCGGGUUCGUGAUUCCCUGCUUGAGGAGAAUAAGCAGUUGAAGGGUGAGAAGGCUGGGUUCGAAGCUUCACUUACUCAAAGUUAAGCCGAUUUCUACAAGCUGGGCUAUGUAGAUCAUCUCUAUAGGCGGCCGUCUGAGUUUGAUUUUUCCGGUAAAGACUUUGAAACCUUCUUUAUUUCUCCAGAAGACUUGCUCACUUUUAUUUUUGAGUCUUCUAUCGGUGAAGUAGUUGGAGAAGUUGGUGCCCAGGCUAGGGCAGCCGAGGGUAAAGAGCCGGAGGAUGCUGCUACUGAGAACAUCAAGGCUGCUGAAGGUGUGACGACCGAGUAGUCGUGAAAUGUCCAAGCUAUUGAAGAAUAGUCUUCUAGGUAGCCUUUAGGAUUUUCUUUGUUUUCCUUUGUUACUUUUGCUUGAACUCCUUCGGUAUUUGCUAAUUGUUUAUCAAUUUUGCUAGAAAAUUUAAUAAACUUGCUUUUUUUGCUUUUCUCCAUCUUCGCUUCUUUUUGUCUAUGCCUUAACCUUUAGACCUUAUAGACCAGUGGCAAGCGUGCUACUUUUCUAUAAGCAGGUAUUGGUGUAGAACUUUUGCAAAGUUAUUUAACUAUAGGGUUGGUAGCCGAAUGCCUUACUUACAGAAGCAGACGAAUCCGCGUAACCACUAGGUUGUUAACCUUGGAUCUUUCCAAUUCCGUAGGUUGUGUAGCAAGUAUCACAACACUUUAGGACUUGGUGUAGGUUAUUCUGUGUUUGGCAGAGGUGAAGCUUAUUGACUACGUAGCAUGUCGGUAGUGGAUAAAAUCUUCGUGUAUGCACGCUAGCUUGUUUAACCUUUCACAAGAAUGUGCGGUUGCAUAAGUCUAGCAUGGUUUUACUGCUCGAAGGGCAAGCCGUAGGUAGUCUUCCAGAAAUUCGUAGGCUACCUUAGUGCACUCGGUAGCAGCUUUAGGUUUCCAGGGCAGCCGCCUGUUGGGUGUACUGCGUAAUGUGCCCCUCCGUCUCUAGGGCCCGGUUCCCUGCGAAUUUAGGCCAAAAGACCCAAAAUCCUUCAAUUAGCUAAGCCUUGAAAAAGACCAUUGUGGCUACUUCUAGGAAUCCCGGUGCAAGCCAUCGUGCAUCUAAUUAUACUAGGGCAGCCAGGCUCAUCCACGUCUGGAUAUUCAGAGUGUUGAGUUUAUCCUCCUGUUUUAGAGAGCAUGGUUGGCCCUUCGGGGGAUGCAAUUCUUACGGUGAGUCCCAGAAAGGGGUGCGAUCUUCUUUUGAACUGCAGGAAAGAUAAGUUGUUGUAGACAUGUAGUCGAGCCAAGUUGCAAAUUACUUCUUAAUUUUUUAUUGAAAAAUGAACAAAAUGAACGAAACUUAGUUGUAAAAGACUGCAUGAUGACUGGAUAUUCCUCGACUUGCGAGAUGGUGCCCGUUGAGCUGCUUGAGUCUUCGGGUCUUUAUAUAGUGGGAAGUCACACAUGGUAUUUCCUCAAAUUGUAGGCGUUCCAUUGCUUCUCGAUCUCUUUGUCAUUCAUGGUGGUAAAGGUGUAGUUACCCUUACUGCCUACUUUUCUGAUCUUGUACGGACCUUCCCAGAUAGGAUCUAUCUUUUUCGAGCCUUCUAUGCGGGCAGUGAUGAAAGCCUUUCUUAGGACUAGAUCUCUGGGUUGGAACUGCCGGAUCUUUGCCCUUUUAUUAUAGCUAGAAAUGAGCUGUUGCUGGUAAACUGCGAUGCGGGUGAUGGUUUGUUCGCGCCUCUCUUCUGCCAGAUCUAAGUUUGUAGCCAUCUCUUCACUGUUCUGCUCAAUGCUUGGCAGUAGAGUGUUGAUGCUUGGCACAAUGAUGUUGGGAGGAAUGAUUGCUUUCGAACCAAAUGCCAAAAAGAAAUGAGUCUCACCAGUCGCUCGUCUUUUGGUGGUGCGAUAUGCCCAUAAACAUCUGGGGAGUUCAUCUGGCCAUUUUCCCUUUUUGUCGAUGAGGGAUUUCUUAAGGCAAUCGAGGAUUGUCUUGUUGGAUGCUUCGUCCUGCUCAUUUCUUGAGGAUAUCUUAGCAUGGACAUGUGUUGUUUGAUGUCGUACUUUUGGAAGAACUUCGCCAAAUCUUUUCCCACAAAUUACGGGUCGUUGUCGGUGACGAUUGACUGAGGGAUGCAACUCGGCAAAUGAUGUUCCUCCAUAUGAAACGCUAUAUGUCCAUCUGAGUUAUGGUCCUCAUGGGUUCUGCUUCUACCCAUUUGGUGAAGUAGUCGGUUGCCACAAUCAUUAUGCAUCUGCCCCCAGUAGCAGGCGGCAUAGGCCCUACCAGGUCAAUCGCUCACUGCAUGAAUGGCCAAGGACUCGUCUAUGGGUGUAGUUCGCUGGCAGGCAGUGCUGGUACCGGUUUGUAGCAUUGGCAGCGGUCGCACUUUUAUACUAACUCCUUAGCAUCUUGGUGCAAGGUAGGCCAGUAGUAGCCUGCGUUAAGAGCCUUCUGUGCUAAAGAUCGGCCUCCAAAGUGAUUCCCACAAACGCCUUCAUGGAUUAAACUUAGAACCUUCAAGUCAUCGAGAGGUGUUAGGCAACGGAGAUGCGGUCCGGUCUAAGAUCUUCGAACAAGAAUGCCAUUCCACGUAUAGUAGCGUGCCGCCUUGAUUUGGAGCUUUCUUGACUCUAAUCUUUCGGUAGGGAGUGUGCCGCUGACCAAGUAGUCUAUAAUAGAACUUUGCCAGUUGGGAGUUACACUAACCUGUGACACUUCGGAUGUCGGCUCCAUCUCUAUGCUUGGCUUGUCUAGAUAUUCCACCAGAAUGGAGCAUUUAAAUUGGUGGUCGAGGGCGGAGCCUAAAUCGGCUAGCGUAUCUGCAUGGGCAUUGUCUGCCCGCGGAACUUGAGUGAGAGUGUAUAUCUAAAAUGUCUCAAGCUGUUGGCGUACUUUCUCUAGGUAUUGUGCCAUCCUUGGGUGUUUUGCCGUGUAUUCCCCAAUAGCCUGGCUAGUGAUUAGUUGGGAAUCAGAAUGAAUUGCGAGCUUCCUUACCGCCAAGUCUUUUGCCAUUCGAAGGCCUGCUAGUAAGGCCUCGUACUCUACUUCAUUAUUGGAUGCUUUGAAGCAUAGAGUGAUCAUAUGCUCGAGCAUUGAGCCGUCUGGGGUAACAAGAACCAUGCCUGCUCCUGAACCUUUGUUGUUAGAUGCGCCGUCAACGUGCAAAUGCCAGAAAUCUUCACUUGGGGGUGUAAGCAUGGCUAAGGUGUGUUCGGCUUCUAGAGUAUUACUAGGCUGCUCUAUUGCAUUGCCUAGGCUAGGUGUGAAUUCUGCUAUGAAAUCUGCUUAGGCUUGGCCUUUAUCGCUGUGCGAGGUCGAAAAACUAAAUCAUAUUGGCCAAGUUCCAAUACCCAUUUCAUCACUCGUUAAGAUGUGUCUGGACCAUGUAAGAUUGAUCGUAAAGGAUACUGAGUCAUGACGAUGACUGUAUGAGCUUGAAAGUAUGGUCUGAGCUUCCGAGCCGCAACAACUAACGCCAAAAUUAAUUUUUUGAUCUUCGGAUAUCUUGUUUCCGCAUCGAGAAGAGCUUUAGAAGUGUAGAAUACCGGCAAUUAGGCCUCCAGCUCUUCUCACAUGAGGGCAGAGCUCACUGCUACUUCGGAGCCUGCCAAGUAAAUGUAUAAAUCCUCCGCCGCUUCCGGCUUGGAUAGUAAGGAAGGUGAUGAGAGAUACUUCUUCAAGUCUUGGAAAGCUUUUUUGCACUCUUCAUCCCAUUUGUCUCUUUGUGCCCUCUUGAUAGAUUUGAAAAAAGGCUUACAUCGAUCUGUGGAUCGUGAGAAGAAAUAGUUGAAGGCAGCUGCUCGUCCGGUCAAGCUUUGGAUCUCUUUCAAGGUAGUUGGAUAUUUCAUCUCUAGGAUUGCUCGAAUUUGCUUGGGAUGUGCAAUUCCUCGUUAGGUUACUAAGUACCCUAGGAAUUGGCUUGAAUAUAUUCCAAAUGUGCAUUUGGUAGGGUUGACUUUCAUCUUGUAUUUCCUAAAGAUAUUGAAAGUUUCUGCCAAAUUGCAAAUGUGAUAUGAUUGCUGCUUGCCCUUUACCAUGAUAUCGUCGACAUAGACCUCCAUGGUUACCCAAAUUUGCUUCUUGAACAUCAUAUUUACUAGUCUUUGGUAAGUGGCUCCCUCGUUCUUGAGGCCAAAGGGCAUGACCUUGUAAUAGUAGGUGCCCCGCUCUAGGAUGCGGUUUUCUCCUUGUCGGGCUCGUGCAUGGCUAUUUGGUUGUAGCCAGAGUAUACGUCUAAGAAGCUGAGCAACUGGUUCCCAGAAGUUGAAUCUACUAAUAGAUCGAUCUGGGGGACUGGAUAAGGGUCUUUUGGACAUGCUUUGUUGAGGUCGGUGUAGUCUAUGCAAACUCUCCAUUUGCCCUCCUUUUUCUUCAUGACUAGUACGACAUUAGCAAGCCAUGCCGAGUGUGCUACCUCUUUUAUGAAUCCGGCCUCCAAUAGCUUGUCAAUUUCUGCCUCAAUGAUCGCUACUCGUUCGGGUGCGAAAUGUCUUCUCUUUUGGAUUACCGAUUUGGCGGUAAGGUCGACAUGCAGCUUAUGGCAGGCCACAUUGGGGUCAAUGCGGGGCAUGUCAGAUGGUGACCAUAUGAAGACGUCUCGGUUUUCUCUAAGGAAAGUUGUGAGUUCUUCCUUUUCGUCUGGGCUUAGUCGUGAGCCAAUUUUAGCCAUCUUUUUCAGCUGCUGGGGAUCAAGAAUGAUGUCUUCGGCGUCCUUUUCGGGAUUCCAUCCUAUCUCGUCUGCUUGGGCUCUAUCUUCUUGAUCCACUUGCUGUAAUUGCUAUUUGGUAGCCUCUUUGUCCUUUUGGACUUCGGUAGCCUCUAUGGGGGUAAAGAUCUUCUUCUUUGAUUCUUUCAACAUUUGCACAGUGCAUCGUCGAGAUGAAACCUGGUCAGACUUAAUCUCUCCGACUCCUCCUCCCUAGAUGCGGAAUCGAAUUUUUUGAUACUUGACGGAAGUGACGGCAUCCAGCUUGAUCAACCAAGGUCUCCCAACAAUCCCAUUGUAGGAAGAUGGAUCACUUACGAUCGUGAACGUUUGCUUUGAGACAACUGGCGGUGUUUUCAUGUUAAGUGUAAUGUGGCUGAUGGCAGUUGAGGUGUGUCCAUUGAAUCCGGUAAAUACCUCUGCUUGGCGUAUGAUUGUGCUUUCCAGGCCCAUUUCUGAAUGACUGAGAGUUGAAGCAAGAUGACUGCACUUCCAUUGUCAACCAUCAUCCUGUCAACUAUAGUAUGGGCUAGUUGGACAUAUACUACUAAUGCAUCGUCGUGUGGGAAAUCGACACCUUCUGCUUCCUGCUCAGUGAAGCCAAUAAUGGGUCCAGGUUGGGUAUCGACUGCUUGAACUUGUGAUAUUAGUAAAGCCUCCUGGGUCUUCCUCUUUUUGGAGUUAUUAAUGGCCCCCAAGUGCUCAGAUUCGACGAAAAUUCCAUUGAUUUGAAUCAUCUUGGUUGGCGGCUCCUCAUCACCGUCUGUAUUCCUUCUUGGCUGCGCAGCUGGCUUGUCCAAGUAUCUAUCGACUUUGCCUUCUUUCAUGACCUUCUCUAGGUAGUUCUUCCAAAUGUAGCAGUCGUUGGUUGUGUGACCAGGACCUCGGUGGAAUACGCAAUACUUAGUGUGGUCUAACUUGGAAGUAUCUCAUUUUGAUUGUUCGGCAACUUGAACCAUGGUUCGUUCUUGAUGUCAUGAAGGAUUUGAUGAAUCAGAAUUGAGAACUUAGAAUAGCUCUUGGUUAUCGGGCCUUCUUUGGUCAUAGGUCGGUCCAUGCGCUUAACCUCAGGCAUGCCCUUGUUGGGCUGUUUUCCAUCCUUCUUCCUUUGAGCAGCUGUCGACUCUUUUCGAGGCUGUUCGGGCACCUUUUCUACUUGUCGAGCCUCGUCCCAAAGUGCAUGCUUCUCUAUCAGAGCAAAGGAAUCUGCUAGAGUUAGGUCUUCUUUCAUGAUCAUUUCUCCGAACAAUGGGUGGUCUGCUGAGAGUCCUUUUUGGAAGGCUGCACUUGUUAUCGAGUUAUCGCAUCCGAUGAUCUUUGCCUUCUCUGCUUUGAAUCUCUUCACAUAAUCGCAAAGUGACUCAUUUGGGUUUUUCUUUACAUUGAACAAGUGAUCGGACUUUUUCUUGAUUGAACGAUAAGAUGAGUAUUCUUUGGUGAAAACCAAAGAAAGAUCAUCAAAAUUCUGGAUGGAUCGUGCUGACAAGGUAUGAAACCAAUCUUGUGCCUCGCCUUGUAAAGUGAAUAUUUUGCACAUAAGGACGUCAUUGUUCCGAUAAAGGACCAUCGCACUUAUGUAGUGCUUCAAGUGUCUUUCUGGAUCCUCAUCUCCUUUGAAAGAUGUGAAGUGCGGCAUGCUAAACUUGUGUGGAGGCUUUGUCUGCCCGAUCUCAUCCGUGAAAGGUGACUUGCUUAUGUUAGUCAUAUCCCGCCUUAGUGUUUCAUCAGCCAUUUCGUUGCGUCGAAAAUCAAGCAUCUGUUCAUUGAAAAGUCUUUCUACCUCAUCUUGGAUUUGCCAUUGUUGGAGGAGUGGAGUUAUCGGCUGCCCCUGGUCUUGACCCGCUGGUCUAGGUUACUAUUCUACACGCUCGGCUCAUCUAUGUCGUGGCUGUGGUGUAUGAGAUAAGUUCCUAGCAGGCAAGGGAUUUCUUUCCAGGCUGCCGGUUGAACUUAAGCCGGAUUGAAUGACUGCUUCAUUUCGUUCGUCAGGCUGCCUGCUCUGAUGUGAUGUAGAUGAUGCUCCUUGAGGGCCUAACCGCGAAUGAACGCUUUGCCUAGAAGGUUGCUCAUGUUGAUUAUCGAAGCGUGGCCUCAACCAUGAACGAAUAUUUACCCACAGGCCUAAUCAAGAGUGCACGCUCAUCCACGCGUUAAGACGGGAGUAUACGCUAUCUCGGGGGCCCAAUCGAGAAUGUAUGCUACCUAAGUGUUCAUUUUAUGAUUGGUUAAGUAACUGUUUACCGGGACGCUGCUGGAAAGGUUCAUCUACCCUUGUCUUACUUUGAGACUUCUCGUUUGGGGCACGUUGGAUCUCGGUGCGUUGUAAGAGUUGAUUCACCAAGGUCAUCUGUUGUGCAAGGGUGCUCGUCAACUCUAUGACUUGUCCAGAUAAAUGUUGUUCACUAUUCGGAUUGGAAGAGCUCGGAUGGAAUGCACCCUGAACAAUAAAAGGGUGGUAGACUUCGAGCGCGAGAUUUGAGUUGCGGAAUGUCAAAUCUGCAAAGAAAUGUGGCGAAAAUGCCCCCGGCUCGAUGAUUGGUCUGGAUGGUUGAGAUAGUCUCGAGCCGACUUGGGCUGCUUGAGAAGCCAUGAGAGCAGGAGCAGGCUGGAUCACGGGAGCAAGUUGGAUCGCAGGAGCAGGCUGCUCAGUGCAUGGUGCAUGCGAGUGCGAGGCUUGGGCUCGGGCCCGUGCAAGCUUGGAUGGCAUGGCUUGGGCCAUGGUGGUGCCACUCUGUUUACAACCGUAUUUUGCCUCGUGGAUCUCCGCGAUCCCAUUUCUUGAGUAUUGGAAUUUUCACUUGUACGAGUAUGGAAAAUAUUCAAAUGGACUAGAAAAUAGAGAAAAAACAUUUUUAUGCGAGAGUAUUCUAUGAGUAUGGAUUUCAACUCUCAAUGAAAGCACCAAUUUGUGGAUGCAAAUUUCUUCAUCCUUCUUCUUGGACAAAAUUGCACCUACAAAACAAUUAACACCUUAGAGCAAGGCCAAGAGCCUCACGCGCCCAUGAUGAAUGGGGGGCUUUGGCCGAAGAAACUCCAAUGCCAAAGUUAGAAUUUAGAGAGAAAAAAGUGUUUAGAGAGUUUGUGGAAUUUUGCAAGAGUGUUGGAAUGAUGUUUUGGUGAAAAUGAGAGCCUAUUUAUAGGGAUAGGCCAGUCCCCUUUGGAGAAUGAGUGGGCGGCCAUUAGGUAGGGUUUUUUAGGUUUAAUUUUGGUUUAAUUAGUAUUAUGAUUAAUUGGCUAAUUAAUCAUAAGGUGAAUGUUUUGGUGGUUAUGAAAUUAAUUGGCUAGCUAAUUAAUGUAAUAAAAAGGGAGAAAUGAUAAAAAAUAAAAAAAUAAAAAAGGUAGAAAGUAUGCUAGACUCCUUUUUGAAUGGGGAUGGCCGGCCUUUGAGUUGUUUUUGGGGUUGAAUGAGUGAUUUAAUUGACAAUUAGGGGAUUGAUUAGGCAAUUAAUCCCUUAAUUAGUCAAUUAUUAUGUUUUUAAAGGAAGAUUUUAGGAAAUAUGAAAGGAAUAUAUUAUUUAGCUAAAUAAUGAAAUGGAAUAAAUUAGGUUUUGGGAAUUACCUUAUAGAAAGGAUUUAAUGAAAUAGGCUUUAAAUUGUUAUCUAUUUUGGGCACUUCUAACUUGGUUGAAAGAGGGUUGCUCGCUGCUCGCACGUAAGAACCUCAUUGUACCGCAAGGGUAUUUUUGUCCUUUUUGUUCAAAAAUCCACAUGUCGCCUUGUGAUUAUUUUUGGCUCCACAGGAGACAUAGAACUAAAGAUGACAUUAGGAAAUGUCUUAAUUUUGAAGGAUGUGCGACAUGUACCUUAUAUUAGAAGAAAUUUAAUUAGUGGAUCAUGUUUAUUAAAGCAAGGUUAUAAAGUUGUAAUGGAAUCAAAUAAGGUUGUAAUAACCAAGAAUAAUGUAUUUAUUGGAAAAGGUUUUAUUAGUGAAGGAUUAUUUAAGUUAAGUGUUUCUUCAGAGUUCAAUACUCUUCUAAAAGUUCUUAAGGUUGAAUCUAGUAAUGUUUGGCAUGGACAGUUGGGACAUGUAAACUUGUUCAAAAUUAAGAAAAUGAUGGAUUUGGACCUAGUCCCAAAGUCAAACAUGAAUCUUAAGCGUAAGUGUGAAAUUUGUGUACAAGCAAAACAAACCAAGAAACCGUUUAAGUCUGUGGAAAGGAAUACCCAAAUUUUAGAGUUUAUACAUAGUGAUGUUUGUGACUCAAAUAGAUUACCUACUAGAGUUGUUGGUAAUAAGUAUUUUGUCACAUUUAUAGAUGAUUGUUCGAAGUAUUAUUAUAUUUAUUUGAUAAAGACCAAGGAUGAAGUAUUUGGUAAAUUCAAGAUUUACAAGACAGAAGUGGAAAAUCAAUUAGAGAAAAGGAUAAAGAGACUUAGGUCUGAUAGAGGUGGUGAGUACACUCUUACCGAUCUUUAGUAUUUUUUGUGAAGAUCAUGGUAUUAUACAUGAAGUAACAACACCCUAUUCUCCACAAUCAAAUGGAGUUGCAGAAAGGAAGAAUAGGACCUUAUUGGACAUGGUGAAUGCAAUGCUUUUGAGUUCUAGAUUACCGGAAAAUUUGUGGGGGGGAAGCAAUUUUGACUGCAUGUUUUAUAAUAAAUAGAGUAAUAAUUAAAGACAACACUACUACUCCAUAUGAAAUGUGGAAAAAGAGAACACCAAAUCUCCAAGUCGAAAGUGUGGGGGUGUUUGGCUAAAGUUGAAAUCCCAUAACCUAAGAGAAAGAAGAUAGGACCUAAAACUGUGGAUAUUAUUUUCUUAGGUUAUGCUCAUAAUAGUAGUGCCAAUAGAUUUCUAGUCAUCAAUUCUGAAAUAAAUGAAAUUUAGAAUAACACUAUAUUGGAGUCUAGGGAUGCAACAUAUUUUGAAGACAUAUUUCCUUUCAAGACUAUAAUGCAAAAGCAAGUGAUAGACAGAUCAUGCACUAGUACUGACAAAGCCUCCACAAGUAUUAGCCAUCAAGUUACUAAUGAAGAAGAACCUCUAGCAUAACUUAGAAUGAGUAAGAGACCUUGAGUGGAGAAGAACUUUGGUGAUGAUUUUUAUACUUUUUUAAUUGAAGAUGAUCCAACAACAUAUGAGGAAGCCAUGAUUUAUGUCGAUGCUCCAUUUUGGAAAGAAGCUAUAAACAAUGAAGUUGAGACUAUUUACAAAACAACACUUGGGAGUUAACGGAUUUACCACCCAGUACUACACCAAUUGGUUGUAAGUGGGUAUUUAGGAAGAAACUGAAGCCUGAUGGAAGUAUAGACAAGUACAAAGCUAGGCUAGUAGCCAAGGGAUUCAAUCAAAAGAAAGGAAUUGAUUACUUUGACACUUACUCUCCUGUGUUUAGGAUUACCACAAUUAGGAUCCUUAUAGCGUUAUCUUCUAUACACAAUUUAGUAGUUCAUCAAAUGGAUGUGAAAACAACAUUUUUGAAUGGAGACUUAGAUGAAUAAAUUUACAUGGAACAACCCGAAGGAUUUAUAGUGAAAGGCCAAGAACAUAAAGUGUGUAAGUUGGUUAAAUCGUUAUAUGGACUCAAGCAAGCUCCUAAGCAAUGGCAUGAGAAAUUUGAUAAAGUCAUUUCAGAAUAUGAUUAUGAAAUUAAUGAGCAUGAAAAGUGUGUCUAUUAUAAGGAAUGCAAUGGACAGUGUGUAAUUUUAUGUCUUUACGUUGAUGACAUAUUAUUAUUUGGAACAAGUUUGGAAAUUGUGAAAGAUGUUAAGUCUUAUCUAUCAAAGAGAUUUGAUAUGAAAGAUCUAGGAUAAGCCAAUAUUAUUUUGGGAAUGAAAGUAGAAAGAACAACAGCAGGUUUUAUUAUAAACCAAGCUAGUUCAAUUGAGAAAAUGCUUAAGAAGUUCAAUUUUUUCAAUUGCAAUCCUAUCUCGACACCAUAUGAACCAAGUGUGUGCUUACUUCAAAAUAGUGGUGAACCCGUGUGUCAACUCCAGUAUUCUCAAAUGAUUGGGUCCUUGAUGUAUACAGCAAAUAAAACUAGACCUAAUAUAGCUUAUGCGGUUGGAAGGCUAAGUAGAUACACUCAUAAUCCAAGUAAAGAACACUAGAAUGCUUUAAGGCGAGUAUUUAAUUAUCUAAGAGGAACUAUAGAUUAUUAUAUACACUAUAAAGGAUUUCCUUAUGUAGUAGUAGGGUAUAGUGAUGCAAAUUGGAUCACUGAUAGCUCCGAAGUGAAAUCUACUUCAGGAUAUGUAUUUUUAUUGGGAGGAGCAGCUAUAUCUUGGGGAUCUAAGAAACAAACAAUAAUUUCUAGAAGUACAAUGGAAUCUGAACUCAUAGCUCUUGAUACUGAAUGUAUAGAGGCUGAAUGGAUUAAGAAUUUUUUGCUUGAUAUCCCAUUGGUGAGCAAGCCUAUACAUGCCAUCUCCAUACAUUGUGAUAAUAAGGCCGUGAUAGAUUUAGUGAGGCAAACACAUACAAAUAAGAAAUUAAAUAGACACAUUAAUGUUAGAUACAAAUCCGUGAUUAAAUAAAGAAGUUGUUUCUUUGGACUAUGUGAAGUCAGAAAAGAACAUUGCUGAUCAAUUGACCAAAGGUCUAUCUAGGAAUGGAGUCCUAGAUUUGUCGAGGGGGAUGGGCUUAAACCCAUAAGGAAGUCACCUAGGGAAGAAACCCUACCUUUGUGAUUGGAGAUCCUAUGAAGAAGGUUCAACGGGUAGAAACAAUCCAUAUUGCGUGACUUAUAUUCCAGCACUCUAAAAUAGGAGAUUUGAAAUAAAAUCUCCUCCUCAUCCCUAUGACAUUUAUGCUGAUGAUAAGUGGUGUUAAGGAAAGACAUUGUCUUGAAUGAGUUCCAAGGCGGGCAAUCUCUCGCAAAGUACAAGUCACAUGUACUCUUGGACGACUCACCUAAGUGAGAGUAGUCGUAAGGCCGCGACUGUGAGAAUUGGGUUGUUCUCUAAAAACACUCAUGAGAAUCAAGAUUAAGUGCAUGGCCAUAAAUAGUGUUAACCUGCACCAAGUUUUUGAUCAAUAAUUUGUGUGUCAUAUGUUGUAAUCUAAAUUAGAGGAAUCUAGUUCAAGUCUUAGUUCACUAUGAUUCAUUCAGAUGAAAACUAGAAUACAAAGUGUAGGUUCAAGUCCAAAAGACACCUACACCCAUUGCAUGGUAUACAAAUUGCCCAAACUUUCGUUUCUUCAAUUGUGUCUUUUUUAUUCCUCAUAGAGUUUUGAAUCUUGUGGGGGAUUGUUGGUUUUUAAAUAUUUUAAUAAUAUUUUAUUUUAAAGAUUCAAAACGUAUUAUUAUUUUAUUUUAUUUAUUUAUAAUAUUUACGAGUUGUGUUUUAUUUGAAGAGUCAUAUUCCGUUUAAAAGGGUAUGAGAAGUUCUUUAAAUAAGAAACUUUAGACAGAAAACAUAAUACGCUAAAGCCUUCUGUCUCCCUCAAUUCUUACAUCUCUCUCAAUCUAUUUACAUUCCUACUUCAUAAUUCUUGGGCAAUUGAUCACUGCUUAGCAAUCCUGUCUUCCGUUGGCGUGCAUAUCGGAUCAGACAUCCUGUGAGGCUUUGGGUUGUAUCUUGGAGUUGUAAACACCGCCAUAACCUGCAUGUAGGGAGGCGUCUAUGGCUUUAGGGCAGCGACAUCGCGCCUCUCUUUGGUUCACAGGCCAUAUAUUCUUAUUCCUUUUUUUUUUAAUUUAAAUUUCUUAAAUCUAAUGAUGAUUAUACAUUUGAUUUGUUAUAUUUGAUCAUAUAAAUAAUUGAUAUAUUUUUGCAAUAUAUUUCACGUGUUACCUAAAAACUAUUUGCAGGUAAAUCUGACACCUCAAAUAGGCAAAGAAGUCACCAUUCUUUCUCUAUCCUCGAAUAUUCAUAAGCUCCCUCUCCCCGCACCACUCCAUAUACCACAAGAACUUAAAAAAUCAUUUUUAACCCACUAACUCAACGGGCUCGCCACAACUAUCAAAGAAAAAUUGAGGCUGGGACACGCUAAUCACGUCAUAUGCAACGCAUUUCUCAUAUUGUCUGUAUUGAUUCUCUCAACUUCACACGGUUGUCCUAGUAGGGCAACUCCACGGACUUAUCUUUCGUUAUUAGUAAGUUACAAGUUUUAGUUUUAUUUCGUUUUGUUUUUUAUUUAGACAUUUUUUCUCUAUUUUUCCCUUCUUGUUUAUCUUGUAAGUGUUCCUAAGAAAAGGAAGUUGUUCAUUUUUCGGGUUCAUAAAAGAUGUAAAAGAUGUAGAAAUCAUUUGAUACGUGAAACACGAAAUUGAUUAAGAAGUGUAUGAAAUUAAGCUUAAAUCAGCACACAACUAACUGAGAACAGUUGUUAUUAGUACCAAAAAAAUAGGCUUAAGCAUCCAACAGAACGGGGCAGCAUUCACCAAAGGUUCUCAAACUGUGCAGCAAUUGGAACUUUAGUUGCACUUUCUAACAACAAUCAGAACCAAACAAACAUAAACACCUUACAUCAUUUCAGCAGUUCUUACAGGAAAGGCGCAGACCCGAUCACAUACACGAACAUUUAAGAUGGUCUUCCUCCAUCUCUUUGCGGUGUAUCUGCGAACUUCCAAGAGCAGGGGAUGAAAAUUUCAGGUACAUUAUUCCCCGCCGCUGCAUCCACUGGUAUCAUAUCUGAAAUCUCUUUUACAUCUUCUUUUGUGAGCCUCACUUUAAAGGAUCCAAUAUUAUCAUCAAGAUUUUUCACCUUAGUUGUCCCUACAAGAAAACACAAGGGAAUGUCAGCAACUGGAAAAAAAAAUCCAGCAAUGUUUCUACUUCAUUGCAUUAGUAAAACUCAUCAAUUACCCUAAACCCUAGAGGCUAGAUCAGGAAGGUAAGGGGCACGCACCGGGGAUAGGUACCACAUCAUCACCUUGACCACGAAUCCAGGCAAGGGAAAGUUGCGCAGUGCUACAUCUAUGCUUUUCAGCCAACAUUUGUAUUCUACUAUAUAUAAUCUUGUUCUUCUCAAGGUUAUCUCCUUGGAAACGAGGAUGCCCAUACUGAGAGCAAGAUUGAUUCAUCAAAUCAUUUAAUAAUUAGAACAAAAGAGCUUCAUACAUAAAUUCUGUGACAUAGAUUACCAGAAGACUAUUUGCAGGUAGACUCUCCAUAACUGCCUUGCCACCGAAGAAUCCAGAACCGAGAGGGCCGUAAGGCACUAUCCCAAUUCCUAGUUCCCUAAUGUUCAGCAAGGACAGCACAAUUCUUGUCAUACAUACAAGGCGGGAAGCGAAUACAUGUAGCGUGCAAAAAGAUGGUAAAAAUAGAUGCUAACAUCUUAGUUCUAGGGCGAGUUAAUGCAGAAAGAAAAAUGUAAUGCACCAACAAGCUAAUAUGCUAGCCAUUAUGCACAUAUUGUAUAUAUAACAUCGAAUUCAAACCCCCCCCCCCUUCUUUUCUCUCUCUCCCCCUCUUCUCUGUUUUGAGUGAUAAUUUGAUCGUUUUAGUUUCCUUAAACGCGACCAAUGCUAUAUGCUGUUGCUGUACUAGGGUUUCCGAAAACACCUAUCAGUGCAUAAUUAUGAUUUUUGCACACCUAUCAGUGCAUAAUUAUGAUUUUUGCACAGGAUUUUCAAAUCGGAUAGUAAGAUGAGGAGGGUUACCUGCAAAGUGGGACAAUUUCUUCCUCGAUUCCACGAGUCCAAAGCGACCACUCCAUUUGUAUCGCAGCAAUGGGAUGAACUGCGUUUGCCCUCCUUAUUGUGUCUGGACUAGCUUCAGACAAUCCAAUGUACUUUAUUUUCCCCUCUUCCACCAACUUCUUCAGUUCCUCCAUCUACCCUUGUACCACAAUAGCAAGUACUAAUAGUUAUAAAAUAAGAAAUCUUCAACUUCAAAUAUAUUUUGUUGAGUGAAAAAGGGUUAACGCUUACAGUAUCCUCAAUGGGGAUGGAUGUAUCCACGCGGUGCUGAUAGUAAAGAUCGAUGUAGUCCACACCAAGGCGCUUCAGGCUAGUAUCGCAACAUGAACGGACGUACUCAGGAGUGCCAUUUACUACAACGCCAUUAGAAUCGAAUCCUACAAUACCAAAUUUCGUAGCCAACUGAAUCUGGUCUCGAGGCAAUUGCUUCAAUGCCUGAAAAACUUUAAAUCGUAAAUAGCAUGCAAACUUGAAAGGAAAGUUAACAAGACAGGAAAAAUGAGCUAAUAACGUUUUGAAUGAGAUUUCGUUGAAGCAACAUCCUAAGAACUGAUGAUUUUUCACCUUAUAAUUUUAGGAUUUUGAAGAAGACUCUACCUUUCCAAUCAAAACCUCAUUAGUAUGGGAUCCAUAAACAUCUGCUGUAUCAAAGAAUGUGAUUCCCUUGUCGAAUGCGUACUUGAUGAUUGAUAUGCCAACCUCUUCAGGGACUGGAUCAUUGUAGAUUCCAGUAAGCCCCAUGCACCCAAAUCCCAACUGGGAAACCUGCACAACAACAAAUGAAAUGAAAUACACAGAAACUACUAUUUACAGCAAUUCAAGGAAUUUUUCAAUGUGACUAGUCACCCUGGACAGCGUUACUGUCACACAACACAACCACGUUUAUUACUAACCACCCUUGACACUUGACAGUGUGAGCGCCACACAACUAAACUUAUUACCAAUCCAUCCUUGAUGGCGUGAUCGUCACACAAUCGUGUACAUUACUAGUCCACCUUCGACAAUGUGAUCGUAAUACCAAAAAAAAAUAAAAAAUACUCCCAAUAAUUAAUGGUAUGUUUACUUACUUAAAAUGGAGGAAGUCGUGAAUUCGUGAAGUGAAAGUAUGAAAUCAUAUUAACUAGGAGUCUAGCACCUUAUCGAUAUAAUUCUUGAUUUUUCAAGCACGCAUUACAAAUCUUAAUGUGAUAUUCACAUUUUUUUUACGCCAUACGUCUUAGUAAACACAUGAAAGUUGGGACUUCAAAUAAAUAUGUCUUCCGAGUAAAUGAUUUCAACAUCCAAGUAAAUAUGUCUUCCGAGUAAGAAACCGGCCCAAGUUUCUUAAGAAAACAAAGACCAGGACCAAAAAAUUAAAAUGGUGCUAGACAGACACCGCCUGUAUUCCCGGUACAUCAAAACAUUAAAAUAGUGCUAGACACACACUCAGUAAGGAUUUUUCGGGACCUUUCGCGAUCCAUCGUCGACAGAGGCCGAUGGCGCCUCCACCGCAGAUGAUGAGGGGACCUCCGCCUCCCCGCCAGGGAUUGCCUCCUCUGCCGGGUGGAGUUCCAAUAUAUGGUCCUCCCCGAUCCGGCAUGCCUCCUCUCCGCCCAAUCCUCAGAUCCAGCAGCAGCAGUGAUGAUCGGUAAUCCUUCCGAACGUCUAGUUUUGUGUUUUGAGUGAAAAUUAUGAUGGUUUGUUUGCGGAUGAUGAGGUAGCCGACCUAGUUAUGUGAAAUUCAAUUUAUUUUCUGGUAUUAUAACCAUUAACUGUGAAAGAACAAGUUCUUCUUGCUGAAAAUUGAUCUCUUUAUACUCGAUGAUCGAUCGUUUCGAACACGAAGGGUUCAUGAAAGUAUCUCUAUUUACUCGACAACAUAUAAAAUUUUGGAGAUGGCGCUUUACUACAGUGGUAGAAAGCAAUCAUAUUUAUGCGCGGGGAUUGAUCCACCGAUUCUCAUACUCUAACGACUAACUAUAAACCUAUUAACACUAUCGAUUUACUAAGAAAAAAGCUUACAGAAACACAAUCUAAGCGAGAUUUUUUUCAUUUCGUCGUGUUGAUUGAAAGUCAAAAGAAAGGAAGUGAAUGGGGUUUUACCUCAAAUCCCUGAUUUCCUAGUUUCACUCUCGGAAUUUGGACUUCCUCCUCAGCCAUUCUGCUUCUGCUUUUUUCUCCAAUUCUUUUUCCUUCCCUAUUUGCUUCCGAUGCAGGAGGUGAGGACUUUUUAAGAGUUCCGAAGUCGGCCUGUGAGGACGACAGACACAAUUAGUUGUUAUAUUCUGUAGAGGAAAUUGUAACAACCCUCCUUUAACUUUAACUUUAACUCUAACUCAAUUGGAUUAAUCUUUCUUUAGCUAAAAAUUCAAGAUCAUUAAUCUAUUAAGGGUAUUAAUUUAUCAAAACAUGUAAUUAUGAUAUUUUUCACCAACUCAAUAAAAACUUCCAUCAAAAUGAGUCUCAUGACACGCACGUGAAGUUGAAUCAAAGGAAAUAUGAAGGAUCGAAUGAGAAAAAUUGUAGCAAUGGUUCCUCAAUUUUAAUCUAAUUACAGCAAUGGUCCCUCAACUUUAAUCUACUUAUAGGCAAUUGUCCUUCCAAUAUGAAUCAUCUUCACUAAAUUCGGACAGAUUAGACGAAAAUGACCAUCACUGCUUGUUUUGAUGAAUUCAAAGAUCAAUGAUCAUGAUUUUUAAUUGAGGAUCAUUAUUCCAAUUAAGUUAAAAUUGAGAAACUAUUUCUACAAUUUUUUCUAGUCUAUAUUUUGUGUCAUCGUUGAUUACAUUAUUGUUGUUUCCUAAUCCGUAAUUGUCAUUGUCAUUUAUCAUUAAUCACUUACCUAGAAAUGGUUAAUCACUUACUUAGAAAUGGCAUUUCAUAGUCAAACUCUUACCUAGAAAUGGCAUCUCAUAAUUUACUUGAUUAUGACUACGGGCAUGAUGAAAUUCUCUAUAGCUUAUUCAGGUCUGAAAGAGAUUAAUAAUCGUGAUUUGUCAUCAAUUGACCUUCUUUUUACAAGAAAAAAUAAGUAAAUUUCAAAAUUUAAACUCAUCUAACUGUAAUAAAUAUGGUAUUCAGCAUACAUCCUACUAAAUAAUGGUAAGCAAAAUUACUCGCAUUUCAAAACUCCAGAUUGACCAGGCGUUGUUCUCCACGAAUGCUGGAUUUUUUUAUGUUUUUAAACUUGAACCGUAAGAUUGAUCCAACGGUACCUAUCUUUCUUACUGUUAGGUUGAUCCAGCCGGCUCUUCCCCAUCUUUUUCUUAGGCUGACAUGGAGAACCUCAGUUUAUUUGGAGAAUGGAACGUCACCCAGCAGCAUACGAGCUUACAUAGUCUGCUAUGCGCGACUUACACAUUUUAAUUGUAAGAAAUUCCUUACAAACUAAUCAAAGUAGUUGAAUUCAUAUAUUAAAAUCGGUAUUUCAAUUUCCAUCUACAUUCUAUUGAACUUAUAUUAAGAAUAGAGAAAAUAAUAUUUAAUAAACAACUUAUUGAAUCACAUUAUUGUUAGCCUAUUAUGAGGCUAAGUCCACCCCUCUUCCCCCUUAGUGUAGAUAAUAUCGUUUGUUAAAAAAAAAAACAAUCAUUUGACAACUAAUUUAAUCACAUUAUUAUGCGCAUACAAAAGACUUUUUUUAUAACCGGCAUUACACGCUUCUUAAGAUGUUUUGAACGUGUUUUAAAAUAUGAAUAACCGAUUGAAUCAUAUUAUUGCUAGUUUAUUGUGAGAUACUAAUUUAAAAAAAAAAACUAAUGAAAAGGGCUUGAAAACUUUGAGUUUUAAUGAUAAGGACAAAAUAAAGGGUAAAGUGAAUAGUACCAAGAUUGACUUUUUAGUGUAAAAAUGUGGUUUUUCGUUAAAGUGAACAGUACCGAGUGCUUUUCAUUAAAGUUCCCUUAAAAAAAUUGUACAAAAAUAAUUAAUUAUUAAAAAAACAUUGUUAAAAUGACGAAAAAAACCCUGCAUUAUUCGAUGAAUUAUUCUGAGUUGCUUUUUAAUUUUUUUGCUUUAGGAGCAUUUUUGUCCAAAAUUUUUUAAUGAAGUUUGUGACCCCAAAAAGUAUUGUUGGUACCAGAUCACACAGAAAAUAAUCCUAAAGUUUGAUCCUAAUAUAUAUAUAUAUAUAUAUAUAUAUAUUUAUUUAUUUAUUUGAAAAAUCUCGACAGUACAGUACAGGGCAUCUUCUUAUGGCCCUAGAUGGUGUCUUGUCUUCGUAUUAAGCACGGUGGACUGAUUGGAUCAAAUCAAAAGGAAAAUUAAUGAAAAUAACUUGAAAAUUUUGAGUUUUAAUGAUAAGGAGAAAAUAAAAGGUAAAAUAAAUAGUAACAGAAUUGAUUUUUAAUGUAAAAAUAUGAUUUUUUGUUAAAAUAAACAAUACCGAAAACUUUUAGUUAAAGUUCCCUCGAUCAAACGGCAGACAGUACGAGCAUCUUGUUAUGGCCCUAGAUGGCGUCUUGUCGUCGUAUUGAGCACGGUGGGCUGAUUGGAUCAAUCAAACGGCAGAAUGUUGAAGAUAAACCAUAUUUAACCUAAAUAACACAGAUGAUAUUUUCUUCUUUUGAAAAAACAAGAUUUACAGGUGUCAAUUACGUAUUAGUUGGGACCCCAUGUCAGCUAGUGCGUGGAAAAUUUCUCCUCCCGCUGGGCAGAGGCAUUUUCUUGUCCACCAACUUUAUCAUCUUUGUCGGCCCUGCAAAGGUCUAUCAAAGAGAAGAUCAUGAAACCGUACUGCAAAUUAGCUCGUUUUGGUAAGUUUGUAUGAAGAACUCACCUUGAAUAGGCACCACAUCAUCCCCUUGAUUGAGAACCCAUGCUAGCUAGGGCUGUUUGAGCAGUGGUGAAUCCAUGCUUCUUGGCCAAAUUUUGUAUUCUGAUCAAUGUACAAAACUUUGUUCUUGCCAAUAUUUUUGCCUUUUGAUUUUGGAUAUGAUUCCUGUGAGCAAAUUUAAACACGAACUUGAGUUAAGUUGCCGUAACUCGAACUUGAUUUCGGUAAACAUUUAUAUUUUGUUCCGUAUACAGGUUGAGAACUUGAGUACGGAACAAUACCAACUCCAAGUUCCUUACUAUAGAUGUACCAUUAGACUACGAGCUACUUGGUUUCAUUACGAGACUCAUACAUUUAUAGUUGAUAGUUACUCACACGCACAUUAGAUAUGAUUUUAAGCACAAACAAUUUAUGUGAAAUUGAGUAUAGUUGUUUGAAUUUUGAACAAUUAUAUAUACAUUCAAGUUCUAUUCGUACAAGGCAAUUUAGUUAAAAGUCAAAGCUAAGCGGAAAUCAUGAAUAACUUUUUCGAGUAAUGUUGUAAAAUUUUAUUCUUGUAGCCAUUUAACAGCUAGAAUCUAAUUUUUAAAUUUGCUAGAUCAACCGCGCAACAUAAGUCUAUGAUAAUGACAUUAUGAAAAAAAAAUUCCAUAAUACAUAUCAUUGAGUAAUUCGAAAAAUUAAUAGUUAAUUAUUGCAAAUUAAAAUUUAAUGUAUUUUUUAACGGCUAGAUCUGCAUAAAAUUUGUAUCAGUAAGUGAUACGUAUCAUUGUAAUCUGACACCAUAAUGAAAUGGUAAAAGUAAACCGCUGAAAUUCCUUUUGAACUUGUAAUUGACUUCCAAUUUCCCUCAUGAAGUUUCUCUUUAGAAAAUUAAGAACACAAACAAGUUUUUUAUCCAAUUUUUAUAUACAGUCUAUUUUCUUCACAUCUCAUCCAAACUGUCCUUAAAAUAGAGGCAUAUGCAAAACAAAUUUAAAAAAAUAAAAGUUAAUGUAGGAGAAAGAGAGCAAUAUCAAUAAGUACUUUAUGCCUUGAAAUUGUAUUUCACCAAUUAACUCAAUGUAAAAGAAAAUAAAAACAAAAAGAUAACCAAUAUAACCACGGCGGUGCGGGGUCACAGUGGCAUGCCGGAGAUUAGUGGUACCUAGAGUGAGCAGGCAUGCAUGCAACAGAGAUGGACCACCAAAUUUUACUCCUUAUUCAGUCUCUGUGAUAUUAUUGAUGACCAAACUGCAGAAAAUUAUAAAUGUAUAUGUUUUUGGAGAGUUGCAGACUGGUUUUCAUCAGAUGGUGCACAAGGAAAUUAAAAACUAUAUUCUUACUAAAUUUCUUGUUAAUCAAAUUUACCAUGGAUCGAUCUUGACCAUUUAAAAAUCUUUGGUGGAUGAAUCAAUGAAUUUGUUCAUAGUUAAUUUUGUAUCAAAAAGCAGUUAAACUUUUUUUUAAUUAUUUAUUCAGUCAGCACAUGAUCAAUUUUUUUAAAAAAAAAAGAACUAAUGAGAGAGAAGAACACAAAAACCCUAAAACCAACACAAAGUUCACAUGUCACAUCGGAAAUCUAAUGAAGUUUAAUUUUUCUCAGAUCAACUGGUUCACCACACAGGCAAUGACAUGAAUAGGACUAUAUAUAGUAGCACAUUACUAUGUCAACAUAGAUAAAAGGGACAAAAGGAAAAAACACUUCAAAAUGCAAAACGUACCUAGCUAAUUAGAGAGAGAGAGAGAGAGAAGAUGUUCAGUUUUUUGGUGCCAGCUGCUUAAUUUCCUUUUUUGUGUGAACCUUAUGCAGCCCCGUUGAGCCAUGCAAAAAUAAUGGUCCCCCAUUCGCUCUGUGAUUUUAUACUUUUUUUGGGUUUAUGCUUGAUGUUACCUUACAGCACAGGCCGGCACAGAGGAGAGAGAGAGAGAGAGAGAGAGAGAGAGAGAGAGAGAGAGAGAGAGAGAGAUGCCCAGAGAGACAACAUGAAAAGUCCUCCUGCUAAAGUUAACUAAAGACCUUCAUAGAAAUAUAGAAACUCACACAAAAGGGCCGGUCUGCAUGUGGUGGCGUGGGGGGCGUG